Long non-coding RNA from Mesitornis unicolor (brown roatelo), 893 nucleotides. RefSeq lists it as uncharacterized. The record is from RefSeq and is a predicted model, not a curated record. The transcript is spliced from 3 exons. NCBI's taxonomy places the organism in Eukaryota, Metazoa, Chordata, Aves, Mesitornithiformes, Mesitornithidae.
CAACCAGUGCUGCUGUUUGCAAAACACGGUAUUUACUUCUGCCAUAGUUACAAACUAAUUAAGAUGCUUUUCUUUAGGAAAUUCAGCAAGAAACUGAUAUCCCUGAAAGAGAACUGGUUAGAGCCCUACAAUCCCUUGCAUGUGGCAAACCAACGCAACGUGUUCUUACAAAAGAGCCUAAAUCAAAAGAAAUAGAAAAUGGUCAUAUAUUUACAGUGAACGACCAGUUCACGUCUAAACUACACAGAGUCAAGAUUCAGACGGUUGCUGCCAAACAAGGAGAAUCUGAUCCAGAAAGGAAAGAAACAAGGCAGAAAGUAGAUGAUGACAGAAAACAUGAGAUAGAAGCUGCUAUAGUUCGGAUAAUGAAAUCUAGGAAGAAGAUGCAACACAAUGUGCUAGUAGCAGAGGUAACUCAGCAGCUGAAGGCCCGAUUCUUACCAAGUCCAGUUGUUAUUAAAAAACGUAUUGAAGGACUUAUUGAGAGAGAAUAUUUGGCACGAACACCUGAGGAUCGCAAAGUAUACACUUACGUAGCAUAAAAUGCGUUCAGAAAAUUUGAUUUAUUCUUGGACUAUACUCUUCGCAUGAACUGGGAAGUUCUUUUAAAUCAUUAAUAUUAAGACGACCAUCUCUUCUAUUAAAUUACAAUACAUGUUCUAGACCGUUCAGAUCAAACCGUUUACUCCUUUUGAGAGUUUUCAACAUCAGUUGAUUGAGCUUCAGGCUUUUCGACGUUACCCCUGUAGAGAUUAUCCUUACAAUUCUUCGGAAAAAUGUGAAUGUGCCGCGUUUGUUUUCAAUACUGUAUGAAAACAGAAAAAUAAAAACAAAUUUAGAAAAUACAGCUCAUUUAAAAAAAAAAAUAAAAUUGUUGAAAUUUCAUUUCCCCA